RNA transcript from Nymphaea colorata (pocket water lily), 2175 nucleotides. RefSeq lists it as uncharacterized. The transcript has 4 exons. The record is from RefSeq and is a predicted model, not a curated record. NCBI's taxonomy places the organism in Eukaryota, Viridiplantae, Streptophyta, Magnoliopsida, Nymphaeales, Nymphaeaceae.
UACUGUCGUUUCUUCCUCCACCGCUGCUGCGCCCUGCUGUCGCACUCGCAGUUGCCGUCGCUUCAGUCGAACUCUGCGCUCCAUGAGCACGUGCUCCGGCCUCUUUAUGCACCCGCCACCGACGCCUUCCUGUGCAACAUAUGCAGGAAGGUCGGCAGGGGGUUCAACUAUCACUGCGACAGUUUCCGCUUCGACGCCCACUUUUUUUGCGCUCUCAUGCCUCGGAUGUUAAUCUGCCAAGCCCACCACCACUUCCUUGACCUCUUGUUUCCCACUUUUGUAGAACCAGAGAAAAAAGUAGAAUUUUUUUGGGCCAGCUAAAUUGUUUAAUCCCUUAUUUUGGUAGGGGCAAACUAAACUCUAAUUUUAACAUUGUACAACUAAAGCUUUUCAAUUUUUUUAAUGUAUUUUUUUUAAUUAGUUGGAGUAAGGUCAUGCCUCCCGUGAGAAGCACCAUUUGUGAUAUUUGCCACGGUCAGAUAGACAAUUGCCGCUACAUGUGCAGCCGCUGCAACUUCGACGCACACCCAGGGUGCUUAAUCAAGGCAGAGGAGAAAGCGCGAAUUGAUGGAAUGAGUCUCUCUUCUCUCCCCAACAGACGAAGAACAUCUCAUUUGAUGAAGGCUUGGAUAUCUACCCUCACCAAGUUCAACUCAAAGACGGAUUCUAUAGAGCAUUUUUCUUCAUGGGCUAGAGAUGGUGAAGGGCGUUUUUCUGUACAUCAUGCAUAUAGCUCGCUUCAACCUCUCGGGGUCAACUGGUUUCCUCAUAAUCUUCUUUGGGCUGGAGGUCCUACUAGACGAUCCAAAACUUUUGCAUGGCUCAUUCUAUUGGACCGCGUUCAGACUCAGAAUAACCUCAAAAGGUCUGGUUUUCACCUUGCGAGUAGAUGCCCUCUAUGUUGUUGUGCCGAGGAAACUACCACUCACCUGGUAUGGUUUUGUCGAGUGUCUCAAGAUCUUUAUGCACUUACCUGGUCUAUGCCUCCCAUCGAAGUCACAAGCAUAUCUACAAUUCGGGACCUGAUCCAUGAACCAACUAGAGUGAGACACAAAAAGAAAUGGCGCACCAUUUGGAGAAUUUGGCUGUUCACGUUUUGGUGGGUCAUUUGGAACUCCAGAAAUGAUAUUAUAUAUAGAAAUGAGGCGGUCUCAGUGGAACGCAUGGCAUCCUCCAUUUUGUAUGACGUUUGGUUAAUUUCCCGUAACCUAUGGGGUAAUAUGGUACAUUCAACCUCAUACAAGUAUUAAGAGUUGAGUUGUAGAUGUAAUCUUUUUCAAGUUCAACUUUUUGUUGGGCUUUUAUUAAUGUUAUUUUCCCUUUCCUCUCUCUCUCUCUCUCUCUCAGCAUCAGUUUGGCUAACCAGUGUUCCUUAUGUCUUGUUGCGACUGAGUCUAGGGUCCACCUUUUUACUUCUUGCCAUUUUUUCUUUAGUGUCCUUGCUUCUACUUGGCCUUCCCUUGUUAGUAAUCUUCCAAACCCACCAUCCAUUCGUCUUUUCUUCCUCUUUUGUCAUUCCCACCACCUGACUGCUUCUUGGGGUCAUGUCUGGAGGCCGUGGCUCAUUUCAGCGUGGUGGCGCAUUUGGGUGGAGCGCAACAACAGGGUCUUCAGGGGCACCUUCUCUUCACCAGAUUCCGUGGCUCGUCUUGUGCAAGGGGAUAUCUAGUUCGCCAUUCGGAUAAAGCGCCGCCGCCUGACUGCGGUAGGACGAUUUGCAAAAUUGAUCUGAAGGAAAGUUGUCAUGCACCUGCUCUUUGACGCCUUCGGUGGCUUGGGUGAAGUAAUGGACGCCUUACUCUUCGGAUCAGAGGACGUCUCGAACAUCACCGACCUCUUCAGCCUUCUCCGGGUAUCCUUCCGGGACCUGCAUGUCGUUGACGAUCGUAUACGCAAGGAGCUUGGAUUCUUGCUUCGAGCACAUAUGAAAGGGAUGAUCGGAGGGUGAUGCAUCUUCCUCCUUGCCCCGCCUUUCAAGUACCUCUAAUUACAUUGGCAACCUCCUCUCUGCGUUCCCAAUAAGUUGCCAUGCCUCUACUAUUCUUCACCACUACAAUUCUAUCACUAGUUCUGCUUCUUUGUCCUUAGAUAAUCUGUCCCAUUUUGUUGUAAUGUGAGUUUUAUGUAACACUAGGGUUGCCUGCGCCUGCAGCUCAUCAUAAUGCCAAGAGUGGU